RNAcentral lists this transfer RNA (70 nucleotides) under Scriptaphyosemion cauveti (Kindia killi). Its description in RNAcentral is "tRNA-Ile". It matches the Rfam family "tRNA". From Rfam's summary of the family: Transfer RNA (tRNA) molecules are approximately 80 nucleotides in length. Their secondary structure includes four short double-helical elements and three loops (D, anti-codon, and T loops). Lineage: Eukaryota; Metazoa; Chordata; Actinopteri; Cyprinodontiformes; Nothobranchiidae. The record is from RNAcentral.
GGAGCUGUGCCUGAAAUAAAGGGCCACUUUGAUAGAGUGAAUAAUAAGGGUUAAAUUCCCUUCCGCUCCU